UACGAAGGGUGCAAGCGUUAAUCGGAAUUACUGGGCGUAAAGCGCGCGUAGGCGGUUUGGUAAGUGUGAUGUGAAAGCCCCGGGCUCAACCUGGGAAUUGCCUCACAUACUGCCAGGCUAGAGUACGGUAGAGGGGGGUAGAAUUCCACGUGUAGCGGUGAAAUGCGUAGAGAUGUGGAGGAAUACCAGUGGCGAAGGCGGCCCCCUGGAUCGAUACUGACGCUGAGGUGCGAAAGCGUGGGGAGCAAACAGGAUUAGAAACCCCCGUAGUCC
RNAcentral lists this ribosomal RNA (273 nucleotides) under uncultured bacterium. Its description in RNAcentral is "partial 16S ribosomal RNA". It matches the Rfam family "Bacterial small subunit ribosomal RNA", at positions 524 to 796 of the family's 1533-position model. The record is from RNAcentral.